RNAcentral lists this ribosomal RNA (249 nucleotides) under Salmonella enterica. RNAcentral describes it as "partial 16S ribosomal RNA". It matches the Rfam family "Bacterial small subunit ribosomal RNA", at positions 1 to 246 of the family's 1533-position model. Lineage: Bacteria; Pseudomonadati; Pseudomonadota; Gammaproteobacteria; Enterobacterales; Enterobacteriaceae. The record is from RNAcentral. RNAcentral also lists the same sequence under 3 other names.
AAAUUGAAGAGUUUGAUCAUGGCUCAGAUUGAACGCUGGCGGCAGGCCUAACACAUGCAAGUCGAACGGUAACAGGAAGCAGCUUGCUGCUUCGCUGACGAGUGGCGGACGGGUGAGUAAUGUCUGGGAAACUGCCUGAUGGAGGGGGAUAACUACUGGAAACGGUGGCUAAUACCGCAUAACGUCGCAAGACCAAAGAGGGGGAUCUUCGGGCCUCUUGCCAUCAGAUGUGCCCAGAUGGGAUUAGCU